Molecule: ribosomal RNA, 400 nt
Filed under: phytoplankton environmental sample
Lineage: Eukaryota
Description: partial small subunit ribosomal RNA
Rfam family: Eukaryotic small subunit ribosomal RNA
Source: RNAcentral
AGCUCCAAUAGCGUAUAUUAAAGUUGUUGCAGUUAAAAAGCUCGUAGUUGGAUUUCUGGUGGGAGCGACCGGUCCGGCGCUUAGCGCGGGUACUUGCGUCGUCUCCGGCCAUCCUUGGGGAGAGUUUGUCUGGCAUUAAGUUGUCGGGCAGAGGAUCCUCAUCGUUUACUGUGAAAAAAUUAGAGUGUUCAAAGCAGGCUUAUGCCGUUGAAUAUAUUAGCAUGGAAUAAUAAGAUAGGACUUUGGUACUAUUUUGUUGGUUUGCGCACCAAAGUAAUGAUUAAUAGGGACAGUUGGGGGUAUUCGUAUUCCGUUGUCAGAGGUGAAAUUCUUGGAUUUACGGAAGACGAACUACUGCGAAAGCAUUUACCAAGGAUGUUUUCAUUAAUCAAGAACGAAA